CCCGGGCCUUGUACACACCGCCCGUCACACCACGAAAGUCGGCAACACCCGAAGCCAGUGGCCCAACCCUUUUGGGAGGGAGCUGUCGAAGGUGGGGCUGGCGAUUGGGGUG
This 112-nucleotide ribosomal RNA is filed under the name uncultured bacterium. RNAcentral's name for it is "partial 16S ribosomal RNA". It matches the Rfam family "Bacterial small subunit ribosomal RNA", at positions 1373 to 1482 of the family's 1533-position model. The record is from RNAcentral.